This 1526-nucleotide unclassified non-coding RNA is filed under the name Hevea brasiliensis (rubber tree). The record is from RNAcentral. Lineage: Eukaryota; Viridiplantae; Streptophyta; Magnoliopsida; Malpighiales; Euphorbiaceae.
CAAGAUUUGAAGUAUGGCCAUACCUAGAGACUUAUGCCGAGGAUGUUGCAAAUGAGGUAGCAGGCGAGUUGCAGGCCACCCCGGAUCUCAUAAUUGGAAACUAUAGUGAUGGAAAUCUAGUAGCGUCUUUGAUGGCGCAUAAGUUAGGAGUUACUCAGUGCACCAUCGCACAUGCAUUGGAGAAAACAAAGUAUCCAAAUUCAGAUUUAUACUGGAAAAAAUUUGAGAACCAGUAUCACUUCUCCUGCCAAUUCACUGCUGAUCUAAUUGCCAUGAACCAUGCCGAUUUCAUUAUCACUAGCACCUUCCAGGAGAUUGCUGGAAGUAAGGACACUGUGGGGCAGUACGAGUCUCAUACUGCAUUCACUCUACCGGGACUCUAUCGUGUCGUUCAUGGGAUUGACGUCUUCGACCCAAAAUUCAACAUUGUCUCUCCAGGAGCUGACAUGUCCAUCUACUUCCCAUAUACAGAGGUGGAGAAAAGACUCACUACCCUUCAUCCAGAAAUUGAUGAGCUGCUUUACAGUUCAGCAGAAAGCACUGAAUACAAAUUUGGGUUAAAAGACAAGACGAAACCAAUUAUAUUCUCCAUGGCAAGACUGGACCGUGUGAAGAACAUAACCGGCCUGGUCGAACUAUACGGAAAAAAUAACCGUCUGAAGGAACUUGUUAACCUUGUGAUAGUGGCUGGAGACCAUGCUAAGGUAUCCAAGGAUCUUGAGGAACAAGCAGAGCUGAAGAAAAUGUAUGAUCUCAUUGAAGAAUACAAACUGGACGGACAUAUUCGAUGGAUAUCUGCCCAGAUGAACCGUGUCCGCAAUGGUGAGCUGUAUCGCUACAUUGCAGAUUGCAAAGGUGCAUUUGUACAGCCUGCAUUCUACGAAGCUUUCGGACUUACUGUUGUGGAGUCCAUGACUUGUGGUCUACCCACAUUUGCUACUUUGCACGGAGGACCUGGGGAGAUCAUAGUGGACGGUGUCUCCGGCUUCCACAUCGAUCCCUAUCAGGGUGAUAAAGCUUCUGAGUUACUUGCUGAUUUCUUUGAAAAAUGUAAGGAAGAUGGGACACAUUGGGAUAAGAUCUCACAAGGAGGGCUGCAACGAAUCUACGAGAAGUACACUUGGAAGCUUUAUUCUGAGAGGUUGAUGACUCUGGCUGGUGUCUAUGGUUUCUGGAAAUAUGUCUCUAAUCUAGAUAGGCUUGAGACAAAGCGCUACCUUGAGAUGUUCUAUGCCCUCAAGUAUCGCAAAUUGGCGCAAUCGGUACCCUUGGCUGUUGACGGAGAGUUCGCUGUCAAUGGAUCGGCAACCUUAGCUGUUGACGGAGAGACUGUUGUCAACGGAACUAAGUAGUUUUCGCAACUGAUUGAAGGUUGAGUUUUAUGUUUCAAAUAAGGGUCUCAGAUGGUAGUGUCUGGUGGCUUUUCUUAUUGUUCCAUUUGAUGUUUGAGCUGGUUUUGUAGUAAACUGUGUUGUGGUCGGUUUCGGAAUGUAAUGCGAUUUUUAAGAUUUGAAUUUCAAGUUUUC